RNAcentral lists this ribosomal RNA (253 nucleotides) under uncultured bacterium. RNAcentral describes it as "partial 16S ribosomal RNA". It matches the Rfam family "Bacterial small subunit ribosomal RNA", at positions 524 to 776 of the family's 1533-position model. The record is from RNAcentral.
UACAGAGGUGGCAAGCGUUGUUCGGAAUUACUGGGCGUAAAGGGCGCGUAGGCGGCCUUCUAAGUCGGACGUGAAAGCCCCAGGCUUAACCUGGGAACUGCGUCCGAUACUGGGAGGCUUGGAUUCGGGAGAGGGAUGUGGAAUUCCAGGUGUAGCGGUGAAAUGCGUAGAUAUCGGGAGGAACACCUGAGGCGAAGGCGGGCUACUGGGCUGAUACUGACGCUGAUGCGCGAAAGCCAGGGGAGCGAACGGG